GGGGUGAGCGCGCGCGGCCGCGGCCGUGGGUCCGCGGUAGCUCUGUUGCGGCGGCGGCAGCAGAGCCCGAGCGGAGGGCUCUCCCGGCAGCAGGCUGUAGCCAGUGGCUCUAGAUGCCGGCCCUCUGCUCCCGGGCCAGCGGCUGGCGGGCGACCUCCCGCCCCUGCUCCUGAUCGCGCCCAGCCCCAGUCUUCGAUACCAGCCACAUAAGAAGCCGGUGUAAGAGAAAAGGCACUCUCAAGUUGCAACUCUGAUACAGCACCAGUGUGGCAUAGCACUUAAGGCAUGGGUUACCAAACUGCUGGGUUGAAAUCCAAGUCCUCCAAUUACUUGCUGUGUGACCUUGGGAAGACCCCAUAAGCCACGGAGCAACUAAGCCCAUGUGCCACAACUAUUAAGCCUGUGCUCUAGAGCCUGGGAGCCACAGCUACUGAGCCCACGUGCCCGAGAGCCUGUGCUCUGCAACAGGAGAAGCCACCACAGUGAGAAGCCCCUGCGCCACAACUGAAGAGUAGCCCCUGCUUGCUGCAAUGAGAAAAGCCUGUGCAGCAACGAAGACCCAGCACAGCCAAAAAUAAAUAGACCAAUGAGAUUAUUUUUUAAGUGUAAUAUUAACCAUUUUCUG
Long non-coding RNA from Bos taurus (domestic cattle), 625 nucleotides. NCBI's taxonomy places the organism in Eukaryota, Metazoa, Chordata, Mammalia, Artiodactyla, Bovidae. The record is from Ensembl.